Molecule: unclassified non-coding RNA, 377 nt
Filed under: uncultured bacterium
Lineage: Bacteria
Description: contains 16S-23S intergenic spacer region
Source: RNAcentral
UCCCCGUUAUCCUGGGCAGUCCUUCCAGAGUUCCCGGCAUGACCCGGUAGCAACUGGGAGCGGGGGUUGCGCUCGUUGCGGGACUUAACCCAACAUCUCACGACACGAGCUGACGACAGCCAUGCAGCACCUGUCUUGGGACUCCGAAGAGCGACCAUGGUUUCUCACGGUCUUCCCCAAGAUGUCAAGCCCAGGUAAGGUUCUUCGCGUUGCGUCGAAUUAAACCACAUGCUCCACCGCUUGUGCGGGCCCCCGUCAAUUCCUUUGAGUUUCAGCCUUGCGGCCGUACUCCCCAGGCGGUGCGCUUAUCGCGUUGGCUGCGACACAGAAGGCUGAACCCCCUGCGUCUAGCACCCAUCGUUUACGGCGUGGACUAC